GGGCCCGCACAAGCGGUGGAGCAUGUGGUUUAAUUCGAUGAUACGCGAGGAACCUUACCAGGGCUUAAAUGCAUAAUGACAGGGGUAGAGAUACCCUUUUCUUCGGACAUUUUGCAAGGUGCUGCAUGGUUGUCGUCAGCUCGUGCCGUGAGGUGUCAGGUUAAGUCCUAUAACGAGCGCAACCCCUGUGGUUAGUUGCCAGCGAGUAAUGUCGGGAACUCUAGCCAGACUGCCGGUGCAAACCGCGAGGAAGGUGGGGAUGACGUCAAAUCAUCACGGCCCUUACGCCCUGGGCCACACACGUGCUACAAUGGCAGGUACAGCAAGCAGCCACUCCGCGAGGAGGAGCGAAUCUGUAAAGCCUGUCACAGUUCAGAUUGUCCUCUGCAACUCGAGGGCAUGAAGUUGGAAUCGCUAGUAAUCG
This 424-nucleotide ribosomal RNA is filed under the name uncultured bacterium. RNAcentral describes it as "bacterial SSU rRNA". It matches the Rfam family "Bacterial small subunit ribosomal RNA", at positions 917 to 1344 of the family's 1533-position model. The record is from RNAcentral.